This 809-nucleotide small RNA is filed under the name Pan troglodytes (chimpanzee). Its description in RNAcentral is "processed transcript". Lineage: Eukaryota; Metazoa; Chordata; Mammalia; Primates; Hominidae. The record is from RNAcentral.
CGGCUGCUUCUUCGCCAGAAUCACCCGGUUGCUUGCUGUCUCAGCGGCGCCCCCUCAUCACCGUCGCCAUGCCCGGAGGUCUGCUUCUCGGGGACGUGGCUCCCAACUUUGAGGCCAAUACCACCGUCGGCCGCAUCCGUUUCCACGACUUUCUGGGAGACUCAUGGGGCAUUCUCUUCUCCCACCCUCGGGACUUUACCCCAGUGUGCACCACAGAGCUUGGCAGAGCUGCAAAGCUGGCACCAGAAUUUGCCAAGAGGAAUGUUAAGUUGAUUGCCCUUUCAAUAGACAGUGUUGAGGACCAUCUUGCCUGGAGCAAGGUUAGUAUCAAUUGGCAUGUGCUUUGAGCCUGAGAUUAUAGGUCAAGUUAUAAAUUAUGGAGUACUUGGUUUUGAGGUUAAGGUACAAGUAAGCCUUAGGUUCAGAGUUCACUAAUUAUUUGAAAAUUUCAAUUGAACCACACAGUGAUCACAUUGCUAAAUCCAUUGGUCAGUCAAUUCUCAGCCCUCCUCUUGGCCUGCCAGCAGCAUUCAACCCAGGUGAUCACUGUACCUCCUGAAACUUUUUCCUUUCUUGACUUCCAGGACACCACAUUCUAGCUGUUCCUGCUCACUGAUUCUUCAUCUCCCAACUCCUAAUUUAUGCUGAAGUUACCCUGAACUUAUUUCUUGGACCUCCUCUCUUUUCUGUCUGCACUCUUUCCCUUGGUGAGCUCAUCCACUCACCUUUAAAUACCAUCUAUGUGCUGUGAUUCUCAAAUUUUCAUCUCUAUGCCAGACUCUUCCAGGUUCAUUUAACCACUGCCUACC